UACUUGGCUAUUUAUCAUUAUUCUCUAGCCUGUUACUUUAUUUGUAGCACAUUUUAUUUUACAGUUGUGUUUUCUCUUCCACAGACUAUCUCACAGUCUUGCGCCAAUGCACAGCUAAAUAUCAUGAUGAGUAAACCAGUGCCAGAAGAGAGUCUGCUGUCGGAAAUGUGGUCUUCUGAACAAGUUAUCUACCCAUUUGUAGAGCUGCCACAUCAGUCUUCAUAGAAGUACUGGAAGGUUAUUGCCUUGAUUGUUCUGGGGUCAUAAACUCUCUGUGCUGCUGCGAUAUUAUUGAAAGAAGCAGUUUUCCCUGCUCAUGUCAUCUCUUGUGCACUUUGAUCUGGG
This 345-nucleotide long non-coding RNA is filed under the name Phasianus colchicus (ring-necked pheasant). RNAcentral describes it as "lncRNA (ENSPCLG00000000456.1)". Lineage: Eukaryota; Metazoa; Chordata; Aves; Galliformes; Phasianidae. The record is from RNAcentral.